Molecule: unclassified non-coding RNA, 209 nt
Filed under: Vishniacozyma victoriae
Lineage: Eukaryota; Fungi; Basidiomycota; Tremellomycetes; Tremellales; Bulleribasidiaceae
Also listed under: 2 other names
Description: partial internal transcribed spacer region
Rfam family: Eukaryotic small subunit ribosomal RNA (bases 1-46)
Source: RNAcentral
AAGUCAUAACAAGGUUUCCGUAGGUGAACCUGCGGAAGGAUCAUUAAUAGUGCUCUCUGAUGCAAAUCAUUGAGUUAGAUCUGCUCUCCUCGCAAGAGGAGGGUUUCCAUACACACCGUGAACUGUGGCUUCGGCCAUCACAAACUGUUAGUAAUGAAUGUAAUAUCAUAACAAAAACAAAACUUUUAACAACGGAUCUCUUGGCUCUC